This 494-nucleotide ribosomal RNA is filed under the name uncultured bacterium. RNAcentral's name for it is "partial 16S ribosomal RNA". It matches the Rfam family "Bacterial small subunit ribosomal RNA", at positions 28 to 507 of the family's 1533-position model. The record is from RNAcentral.
GACGAACGCUGGCGGCGUGCUUAACACAUGCAAGUCGAACGGUGAAGCGCCUUCCUUUUUGGUGGGUGGUUAUGAGUGGCGAACGGGGGAGUAACACGUUAACAAACUGCCACCUUCUGCUGGAUAACCGCAUGAAAGUGUGGCUAAUACGGGAUAUUCUGGAUCUGUCGCAUGAUGAGUCUGGGAAAGAUUUUGUUUCGGUUGUGGAUGGGCUCGCGGCCUAUCAGCUUGUUGGGGGGGUGAUGGCCUACCAAGGCGGCGACGGGUAGCCGGCCUGAGAGGGUGGGCGGUCCCGGUGGGACUGAGACACCCACCCGCCUCCGACGGGAGGCAGUAGGGAGUAUUAUGGCACAGUGGGAGGACUGCUGGUGCAGCGACGCCGGGGGAGUGAUGGUGGCCUUCGGGUUGUGAACUUCUUUCGCGAGUGAAGCAGGCCUGCCUCGUCUGUGGGUGGGUUGACGGUAGCUGGAUAAGAAGCGCCGGCUAACUACGUG